UUGGAGGGCAAGUCUGGUGCCAGCAGCCGCGGUAAUUCCAGCUCCAAUAGCGUAUAUUAAAGUUGUUGCAGUUAAAAAGCUCGUAGUUGAAUUUCGGGAUCAAUAUAUCGGUCGUGCCAUUGGUACGUACUGGUAUCAUUGGUUUCUCCUUUCUGACGAACCAUGGUGUCAUUAAUUUGGUGCUAUGGGAAGUUAGGACUGUUACUUUGAAAAAAUUAGAGUGUUUAAAGCAGGCUUUAGCUUGAAUACAUUAGCAUGGAAUAAUGAAAUAGGACGUUCGAACCUAUUUUGUUGGUUUCUAGGAUCAACGUAAUGAUUAAUAGGGAUAGUUGGGGGCAUUAGUAUUCAAUUGUCAGAGGUGAAAUUCUUGGAUUUAUUGAAGACUAACUACUGCGAAAGCAUUUGCCAAGGAUGUUUUCAUUAAUCAAGAACGAAAGUUAGGGGAUCGAAGACGAUCAGAUACCGUCGUAGUCUUAACCAUAAACUAUGCCGACUAGGGAUUGGAUGAUGUUAAUUUUUUGAUGACUCAUUCGGCGCCUUACGGGAAAC
This 549-nucleotide ribosomal RNA is filed under the name uncultured Glomus. Its description in RNAcentral is "SSU rRNA". It matches the Rfam family "Eukaryotic small subunit ribosomal RNA", at positions 548 to 1098 of the family's 1831-position model. Lineage: Eukaryota; Fungi; Glomeromycota; Glomeromycetes; Glomerales; Glomeraceae. The record is from RNAcentral.